Molecule: ribosomal RNA, 253 nt
Filed under: uncultured bacterium
Lineage: Bacteria
Description: partial 16S ribosomal RNA
Rfam family: Bacterial small subunit ribosomal RNA
Source: RNAcentral
UACAGAGGGUGCGAGCGUUAAUCGGAAUUACUGGGCGUAAAGCGCGCGUAGGCGGCUUUGCAAGUCGGGUGUGAAAUCCCCAGGCUUAACCUGGGAACUGCAUUCGAGACUGCAUUGCUAGAGUAUGGGAGAGGGAAGUGGAAUCUCCGGUGUAGCGGUGAAAUGCGUAGAUAUCGGAAGGAACAUCAGUGGCGAAAGCGACUUCCUGGACCAAUACUGACGCUCAUGUGCGAAAGCGUGGGGAGCAAACAGG